Molecule: unclassified non-coding RNA, 1264 nt
Filed under: Hevea brasiliensis (rubber tree)
Lineage: Eukaryota; Viridiplantae; Streptophyta; Magnoliopsida; Malpighiales; Euphorbiaceae
Source: RNAcentral
GUAAUUGCAACAAGUAUUUAUAUGAUAGUUCCAUCUUUAUAUAUAUACAAAAUGCACCAUAAACUACAAGUCUACAUGCAACAUCAUCACGGUAACACAUUUUUACUUGCGUCGCAAUUUCAUAGAACAUUGGUUUCAUCUUACCACUAUAUCCGCGCUUGGAUCGCCACCCUAAACUUUCAAUCUGAUACUAACAUAGGGUUUAUUUCAUGUUUUACAUGCCUGUGACUCCUUAUGUACAAGUUUAAGUCACUUUAGGAGGAACUACAGGAGCUAGCUGAACAAUGAGCAUUUCACCUUUCUAUGGGUUUUCCUUUCUGCAAAUCGACGUUGUCUUCGUUCAUAGAUAGUCCUGAGAAGUGAGACUUCAAGCCAAUCCAGCAUUGGUAAUAAUCGUGAUCCAUAAACGGAGAUUCAAGAGCCCACGGACAGACUCGGGGUACUAGGCAAGACUCAAACAUGAAAGCCAUGGUAUCAGCUAUUCUAUGUGGACCAGCUUCAUUUCCAAGUGCAAUGGUUGCCUCAAAUGUUUUGGUAUCAGGACCAUGAGGAGUCAUGCAGCUGUGAAGGCUUGCCCCGCCAGGGUGAAAACCAUCAGCUUUUGCCUCGUAUCCGCCAUAGAUUAGACCCAUAAAUUCGCUCAUACAAUUGCGAUGAUAAUAUGGAGGACGGAAGGUGUGUUCAGCAACCAACCACCGGGGAGGGAAAAUGACAAAGUCAAGCAACGCCACACCAGGUUUAUCUGUUGGUGCUGUCAAAACUGUGUUAAUUGAAGGAUCACUGUGGUCCAUCAAUACAGUAUUGUAAGGGCAGAACUUGCUUAAAUCAUACUUAUAAGGAACAUAAUUGCCAUGCCAAGCGACCACAUUAAAAGGAGAGAAGUCCUGCUUCGCAGUGAAGAGUUCACCACCAUACUUCUGCACAAUAGUGUAACCUGGACGGGAGCCAUCUCCGUACCAGGCAACAGGAACAAGAAAAUCCCUUGGAGCAGCUAGACCAUUUGCGCCUAUUGGCCCCAGAUCAGGAAGUUGAAGAUGAGUUCCAAAAGUUUCAGCGACAUAACCACGUGAAGGUCCAUCCGGAAGGUCAACAGCAAACCUAUAUCCUUGAGGCAAAAUCACAAUUUCACCAGGACAAACCUGCAAUCUUCCGCAUUCAGUAGUAAUCCACAGCCUUCCUUUUUGAGGAACAAUCAGAAAGUCGCCAUCAGCAUUGCAGAAGGCAGAGUUCUCCAUUGAUUUGUUGGCAGUAUACAUGUGAAUUG